RNAcentral lists this ribosomal RNA (492 nucleotides) under uncultured bacterium. RNAcentral describes it as "partial 16S ribosomal RNA". It matches the Rfam family "Bacterial small subunit ribosomal RNA", at positions 29 to 507 of the family's 1533-position model. The record is from RNAcentral.
AGUGAACGCUGGCGGUAGGCCUAACACAUGCAAGUCGAACGGCAGCACAGUAAGAGCUUGCUCUUACGGGUGGCGAGUGGCGGACGGGUGAGGAAUACAUCGGAAUCUACUUUUUCGUGGGGGAUAACGUAGGGAAACUUACGCUAAUACCGCAUACGACCUACGGGUGAAAGCAGGGGAUCUUCGGACCUUGCGCGAUUGAAUGAGCCGAUGUCGGAUUAGCUAGUUGGCGGGGUAAAGGCCCACCAAGGCGACGAUCCGUAGCUGGUCUGAGAGGAUGAUCGGCCACACUGGAACUGAGACACGGUCCAGACUCCUACGGGAGGCAGCAGUGGGGAAUAGUGGACAAUGGGCGCAAGCCUGAUCCAGCCAUACCGCGUGGGUGAAGGAGGCCUUCGGGUUGUAAAGCCCUUUUGUUGGGAAAGAAAAGCAGCAGGUUAAUACCCCGCUGUUCUGACGGUACCCAAAGAAUAAGCACCGGCUAACUUCGUG